CAAAUGAAUUGACGGGGACCCGCACAAGCGGUGGAUGAUGUGGAUUAAUUCGAUGCAACGCGAAAACCUUACCUACCCUUGACAUGUCCGGAAUCCCGAAGAGAUUUGGGAGUGCUCGCAAGAGAACCGGAACACAGGUGCUGCAUGGCUGUCGUCAGCUCGUGUCGUGAGAUGUUGGGUUAAGUCCCGCAACGAGCGCAACCCUUGUCAUUAGUUGCCAUCAUUUGGUUGGGCACUCUAAUGAGACUGCCGGUGACAAACCGGAGGAAGGUGGGGAUGACGUCAAGUCCUCAUGGCCCUUAUGGGUAGGGCUUCACACGUCAUACAAUGGUCGGUACAGAGGGUUGCCAACCCGCGAGGGGGAGCUAAUCCCACAAAGCCGAUCGUAGUCCGGAUCGUAGUCUGCAACUCGACUGCGUGAAGUCGGAAUCGCUAGUAAUCGUGGAUCAGCAUGUCACGGUGAAUACGUUCCCGGGUCUU
Molecule: ribosomal RNA, 480 nt
Filed under: uncultured Rhodocyclaceae bacterium
Lineage: Bacteria; Pseudomonadati; Pseudomonadota; Betaproteobacteria; Rhodocyclales; Rhodocyclaceae
Description: bacterial SSU rRNA
Rfam family: Bacterial small subunit ribosomal RNA
Source: RNAcentral